GCGGCGGUGGCGGAAUUGGUAGACGCAGCGGACUCAAAAUCCGCCGGCAGCAAUGUCUUGAGGGUUCGAGUCCCUCCCGCCGUA
RNAcentral lists this transfer RNA (84 nucleotides) under Solirubrobacteraceae bacterium. It matches the Rfam family "tRNA". From Rfam's summary of the family: Transfer RNA (tRNA) molecules are approximately 80 nucleotides in length. Their secondary structure includes four short double-helical elements and three loops (D, anti-codon, and T loops). The record is from Rfam by way of RNAcentral. Lineage: Bacteria; Bacillati; Actinomycetota; Thermoleophilia; Solirubrobacterales; Solirubrobacteraceae.